CAGCUCCAGAUCAUCUGCCACACCUUCCUUGUCCAACAUUCAAGGGUUACCUUAGAACACCCAAGAUCAGGCCAACAAUUUAGAGGUGAUGACUAGUGACAUCUAUUUAAUGUUCCACAAUGCUGUCUCCUUCAAGAAAGUGUCCAAUGACCUCCUCACUUCAAAAAAGGGUCACCUGCAGAAAAGGAAGGAGUUUUGAGAUGAUGUGAUAGAUUAUGUUGUUAACAACAUACCUCUCAACUGGCUGGUAGGUUCCCUUUAUUCUCAGCUGACUGAGUCUCAGAAUGCUCAAGACCAAGGUGCAGGGAAGAAAAGGACAAGCCAGGAAAUAUAUCAAGCUGAACAUAAAACA
This 352-nucleotide long non-coding RNA is filed under the name Homo sapiens (human). RNAcentral's name for it is "non-protein coding lnc-DCAF8L1-4:1". The record is from RNAcentral. Lineage: Eukaryota; Metazoa; Chordata; Mammalia; Primates; Hominidae.